This 305-nucleotide ribosomal RNA is filed under the name uncultured bacterium. Its description in RNAcentral is "bacterial SSU rRNA". It matches the Rfam family "Bacterial small subunit ribosomal RNA", at positions 331 to 635 of the family's 1533-position model. The record is from RNAcentral.
CUUAACCUACGGGGGGCAGCAGUGAGGAAUAUUGGUCAAUGGGCGAGAGCCUGAACCAGCCACGUCGCGUGAGGGAAGACGGUCCUAUGGAUUGUAAACCUCUUUUGUCGGGGAGCAAAAAGGCCUCGCGAGGCCACAAGUGAGAGUACCCGAAGAAAAAGCAUCGGCUAACUCCGUGCCAGCAGCCGCGGUAAUACGGAGGAUGCGAGCGCUAUCCGGAUUUAUUGGGUUUAAAGGGCGCGUAGACGGACUGGAAAGUCAGCGGUAAAAUCGAGAGGCUCAACCUCUUUCCGCCGUUGAAACUG